Long non-coding RNA from Sapajus apella (tufted capuchin), 1118 nucleotides. RefSeq lists it as uncharacterized. The record is from RefSeq and is a predicted model, not a curated record. Lineage: Eukaryota; Metazoa; Chordata; Mammalia; Primates; Cebidae. The transcript is spliced from 2 exons.
CUCCUGACCUCAAGUGGUCUGCCUACCUUGGCCUCCCAGAGUGCUGGGAUUACAGGUAUAAGCCACCACACCUGACCAGCUAAGAUGUUAAGACUGGAUUUCAAACUGGCCUCACUCCCUCUACAGCUGGUGUGUUGACCACUUCCUGAUGUUUUGCAGCAGACAUGAGGUGAAACAAGGCAGACAGCAGGCAGGACCCAUGGAUGCUUCUUUCCCAGUGAGCUCCAGUACACUCCCAAGAGCUAAUCACCAAAACUGGUGCAAAUUAUGGAAAAACAUAGAAAAAAGCCAUGGAGGAUUAGAGGAGUGAAGAUGUGGGAGGAGGUGGUGAAGGGUUGGGAGGAGGGAGAUCAAGUCUUUCUGUUGCUGAGAUUCUGAAAGUGAGCUCACCAUAGUUGGUCUCAUCCACAGACAUUCUUACCUUUGGUCUUCUUUCAUCCUGAGAGUAAAGUCUAUCAUGCUUUAGGUCUCUCUACCAACAAGGUGGAAGAGUUUGAACUCUCACAUUAGCCAAAGGGGCUGCCACAAGGGAAAAAUUAUUUGAAGCCUUGUGUUUCAUCCUUGGAAACCAAGCAAAUUUUACAUCAUGCUUUAUCAUUUGUUUGUAUUUCUAUGUAUACAUUAUGAUUUAAACUACCAUGUUUCUCUGAUUAUAAAUGUGAUCGUUUAUAAGAAAUUUUAUAACAGCAUUGGGGUAAGGGAAACUACAUUCAUUAUGAGACACAUUCCAUUUUCAGAAAUGUUAAAACAUGGAAAAAUGUAUAAUUAGAGUUGAGGAAAUUCAGAAAGAUUCCUGCUUGUGGAAGAUGUGUCAUGCUUCUGUUGGGGCUAGGCCAGUCUUCUGAUAUCUAUUUGUGUCCAUGAGAGUAGGCACAUACUUCAGUAUGUGGGGCAAAAUCUCAGAUGUGUUCUUCAGUGACAGAGGUUUCUAAACAGCCACAUUCACUCCGUUCUAAGUCACCCUUAGUUGUAAAUUGCACUCACAAUGUAAUAAUAGUUUUUCAAGUAAAAAGAUAAAUACCAUAGUAGAUAAAUGUCUAUAUUGAUUAUAAAAUGCAUCCCAAUUUCAGAAACAUUAAAUCUUAAAAAAAAAAAAGCCUAUCUUAGAAGCAAGGACA